Molecule: non-coding RNA, 231 nt
Filed under: Pseudomonas sp. 8AS
Lineage: Bacteria; Pseudomonadati; Pseudomonadota; Gammaproteobacteria; Pseudomonadales; Pseudomonadaceae
Source: RNAcentral
UCGCUUUACUUCCGCCAAGGUGCGCCCGACUGUUGCAGUGGGCGUUAAACGGGAAGCCGGUGCGCUCGUCACGAGCCAUUCCGGCGCUGCCCCCGCAACGGUAAGCCACCGCAGCCUCGCGCUGCCAUGUCGAUCGACACGCCACUGGGGGUUCCCCCGGGAAGGCGAUCGACAGGGAAAGUUCGCUUUCAGUGGCAAGCCCGGAGACCGGCCUGGACGGAUUCGACUGGU